This 3014-nucleotide unclassified non-coding RNA is filed under the name Centruroides sculpturatus (bark scorpion). RNAcentral's name for it is "zinc finger protein AEBP2-like, transcript variant X2". Lineage: Eukaryota; Metazoa; Arthropoda; Arachnida; Scorpiones; Buthidae. The record is from RNAcentral.
UGGGGACAAUGCGGAAAAGACAACAGGUAUGCCAAGUUCACUGUCACUGCCCUACAUAUCCAACCGACCUACAUACUAUACAUACGGCGGUUAGAGAGGGGAAGAGAGACGGGCAUCUCGCUGUGCAAGUUCACGCAAGCGUGCCUGUCAUUAAUAAGUCGGGGGAAGGAAGAACUGAUUGUCACGUGUCCCCCAUUCGCACGUGUUUACUUGUGUGACGUCACGGCUCCUUGACCACGAAGACCGAUGACGCGACCAAGAUGGCGGCUAGUGGGUACAUGGAGGAUAAGAACAGUGGAGAGAAUAUGGACGAUAUGUUGGACUCUUCUAACUACGAUUAUUUAGAGAUUGUUCAUAAGAAUGGUCUUUUUAAUCAUACGUAUCCCUAUUCAAACAGUACAACGUUUAGUUGCAGUCAAAAUGGUACAACUAUAGUGAAAUGUUUGGAACGACUGAGCGGUUUAAACAAAGUUGAAACGUCUUCGAUAAAUGGUUUAGAUAUAUUGAAGAAUGGUAUGAAGACAUUUUCACGUCACGAUGGCAGAAAUAAUCAUGUUUUUCGACACGAAAGACGUACGACUCGUUUGGAUAGAGUCGGGAGUACUGACAGUGUUGCCGUGAGCAGUGGUGGCAGCGACCACGGUGGUAGCGAUUCAUGUCAGUCGACAAGCAGCAACGUGUCCGAACCCUGUUCUCCCGAGACAGAAAGCCCAGAUUCUCCGUGUCCAGGCACCCCCCAGCCGAUGCCACCCAUCCCACCGUCUCUGGCAGAUAACUGCCGAGCAGACAGUGACGAUAGCAUCACUCUCUCGGGGACACUGGUGGCUCUGACGAAGAACGAGUACCCAACAAGUGGACAAUAUAGUUUGUCUCAGGGACAUGACAAUGCGACAGACACAGUAUGUGAUAAUAAGAAGAAUUUUUUCUAUGACUGCAUUUACAACGACAAGAGUUUAUGUGAUGACAAUGCACGCUUAGGAUCAAAAUCGGAGAGUGAAGUGAACGAGGAAUAUUACACUGCCAUUGGUGACAGUUCGGAAUGUGAGGUGAAGCCGAAUUGUCACGUGGGGGAUGGACUGGAGAAAGAAAACACCUCAUCAUCCUCAUCAUCAUCAUCAUCAUCCUCAUCGAAUCAGUCGUCAACUGCCAGUCCCGAGAUACAGACAAAUACCGACGAUAGUCACACUGUUACUUGUAAAUGGUUCAACUGUGAGCAGAAAAUGGUGUGCAGCGGUCAGCUGGUGGAACAUAUCCGUAAAUAUCACGUGGAAAGACAGAGUGAUAGUGAAACGUUCACCUGUUUAUGGGUCGGUUGCAAGGUUUAUAAUCGCCCAUCAUGUUCAUUAAGUUGGUUAGAACGACAUAUAUUGUGUCAUGGAGGAAAUAAACCUUUCAAAUGUAUUGUGGAAAGGUGUGAUCAACGUUUCACAUCUCAAAGUGCUUUAGAAAGGCAUGUAAAUUCACAUUUUAAUAGUGCAUCUGCUCCAAAUGGAAACAAAGUGGGGCGAAGUAAAGAUGACACACCUACUAAGUUAAUAAAGAAGAAAAAGCUUAGGUAUCGUCGCAAGUGUAUGGCAGUUAAAACAGAAGAUUUUUUUGAUGCCAGAAUUAUGGAGCAUGUUCGACAUGGUUUAUUAGAAUUGAACUCCGUAACUGGACUUGAUACUGAAGGAAUACCUGGGACCAUAACUUUCUAUAGCACUGUUAUAGCAAGAAGAAUGGAAGGAGGUGGGAAAGUGAAAGUCCUUUUACAUUGGUCACCAGAGAAUAUAAGCUGCCAAUAGGAUGAUGAUGCAGAUCUUAAUUAAGAAUUAUGACUUGAAUGAAGGAGAGUUGAAGAUUUUAUCACCAUUUCGUAGAAGCAGUAUUUUAUGCCAAGAGUAGUCAUAGAGGACACAAUUUUCUGUACAUUACACAAUAAGGGAAUCUGAGUCAUAUGCUGGAUUUUCAAAAGAAUAAUGUUUUCUCUGUGCAUUUUGUAUAAAAUAAAGAGAUUAAAGAUUGUUUAUGAACUGUUGUUUGUUUUAAUAGUGACCCAAGUGAGAUUAACUAAAAGUUAAUCUCAUUAGGGUCUUUAAUCAAAUUACUUUUGUCUUAUUUACAAUAAGUAUAAUUUAGGAAAUUGAUUGCCGUAUCAUACUGUUUUGCCAGAUUUAUUAAAAAAUUCUAGAAGCAAUUAAUUUCUUUAUCAGUAAAAAUCAAAAAUGGUUAAGAUAAUGAAUAUAGUACAGCCUCAGAAAUUGCAUCACUUGUUAAAUCUUAUAAAAAUGUGUUUUGUUUUAAAAUUGAAGUAUCAUUUUGCUGUAGACCUGCAAGAAAUUAUGAAGAAUGAAUCAUCCAUGAUAUCAUAAACAUGACAGUGCUUUUCAUUGGCUGAUAAAGUUUAUUGCAACAGAGCAUCCAGAGAUUUGCCUCUUCUAUUAGUAUAAAAACCCAUCUGAAGAUGAUUUUUUAAGCAAAAUGAAGUUUUUGAAUAUUAAAACUUGCUUAGAUAAUUUGUAACAGAAUACUUUGAAUGCUAAAGAUCUAUCUAUCUUAUAAAAUAGCACAAAGACUACAUUGUCAUCAAACAAUGCAUUUGUUACAAAGGAGACAUGGUCAUAGCAGUGUUUAAAAAAAAGAUUGGAUUGGGAGGUAAUUGUGAGUACACAGCACCAAGAUAGGAUGUUGAAGUAUCACAGUUUGAAAAAUGCAUUGAUAGUUCUUCUGAAUUGUGAAAGUAAAGUGGGAAGAGCAGACAUGUGUAAAGCUGUGUUCAGACACACACAAUAUAAGUGAUGUAACGUGGCAUCAUUACAUGACAGGAAGCCAUUUCAUGGGCAACAAUGUUAUGUUGGAAUUGAUUCCAUGACAAUUGUGACAGAAGGAAUCUUAUAUUCAGCCAAUCUUUCAAAAUUGCCUUAUCAUUUCAUGCUCACACAUGAAUGAAAGAAGGGGGAAAAUGGCAGUAAGCAGCAUGCUGAAAGAAGAAAAUCUAAUUAUUGAAGUAGAAAAAUAUCCUGUUUCUAGAGAAA